GCCCCCAUCGUCUAGUGGCCUAGGACGUCGCCCUUUCAAGGCGGUAGCACGGGUUCGAAUCCCGUUGGGGGCA
Molecule: transfer RNA, 73 nt
Filed under: Embleya scabrispora
Lineage: Bacteria; Bacillati; Actinomycetota; Actinomycetes; Kitasatosporales; Streptomycetaceae
Also listed under: 35 other names
Description: Streptomyces scabrisporus tRNA
Rfam family: tRNA
About the family: Transfer RNA (tRNA) molecules are approximately 80 nucleotides in length. Their secondary structure includes four short double-helical elements and three loops (D, anti-codon, and T loops).
Source: Rfam by way of RNAcentral